Non-coding RNA from Picea glauca (white spruce), 73 nucleotides. The record is from Rfam. NCBI's taxonomy places the organism in Eukaryota, Viridiplantae, Streptophyta, Pinopsida, Pinales, Pinaceae.
AAUCUCAUGGCGUAAUAGAUAUUGUACUUGACUUUCAAUCAAUGUAUUAUAGGUUUGAAACCAAUUGGGAAUG